RNAcentral lists this ribosomal RNA (340 nucleotides) under uncultured bacterium. Its description in RNAcentral is "partial 16S ribosomal RNA". It matches the Rfam family "Bacterial small subunit ribosomal RNA", at positions 338 to 675 of the family's 1533-position model. The record is from RNAcentral.
CCUACAGGAGGCUGCAGUGAGGAAUAUUGGUCAAUGGACGAGAGUCUGAACCAGCCAAGUAGCGUGAAGGAUGACUGCCCUAUGGGUUGUAAACUUCUUUUAUAUGGGAAUAAAAUGUUCCACGUGUGGGAUUUUGUAUGUACCAUAUGAAUAAGGAUCGGCUAACUCCGUGCAAGCAGCCGCGGUAAUACGGAGGAUCCGAGCGUGAUCCGGAUUUAUUGGGUUUAAAGGGAGCGUAGGUGGAUUGUUAAGUCAGUUGUGAAAGGUUGCGGAUCAACCGUAAAAUUGCAGUUGAAACGGGCAGUUUUGAGUACAGUAGAGGUGGGCUGAAAUCGUGGUG